UACGGAGGGAGCUAGCGUUAUUCGGAAUUACUGGGCGUAAAGCGUGCGUAGGUGGUUUGUUAAGUCUGUUGUGAAAGCCCCGGGCUCAACCUGGGAAUGGCAAUGGAUACUGGCAGGCUAGAGUGCGGUAGAGGGUAGUGGAAUUCCCGGUGUAGCGGUGAAAUGCGUAGAGAUCGGGAGGAACACCAGUGGCGAAGGCGGCUACCUGGACCAGCACUGACACUGAGGCACGAAAGCGUGGGGAGCAAACAGG
Molecule: ribosomal RNA, 253 nt
Filed under: uncultured bacterium
Lineage: Bacteria
Description: partial 16S ribosomal RNA
Rfam family: Bacterial small subunit ribosomal RNA
Source: RNAcentral